GAGUGAUUCCAAGACAUCUUUGGCAGAUCUAGUUCAGAGACACACAAAUAAUCAUGGAUUUAAGAGAUAUGAUGCCUCAGGAUUUUCUGAAAAUCAUGAUUUUGAGGGCUAUCAUACCUCAGGAUUUUCUGGAACAGGUGUUGAUAAUGGCCGAGGGACUGAUGAAAUGAGUAAUGACUCCAAAACAUAUACUGGGAGCCAAGGUCAAGUGCCAUAUGGGAAAUUUUCAGACCAUUCUAUUGCACCACACUCACAAGAAGGAAAAGGUUUUGAUAGCAGUUAUAGUCAAUCUACUCCAUUCCAGUCAACGGAAAAAAACAGUUUUUUGAAGGAUAAUGCAUUUAGCUCAACUCAAAAUUCUAGUGUAUAUGGUAGAGAUGUGCAAACAUUUGAAUCAAUUGGUUUCAGUUCAGAUAUUAGGAGCUCCACAAAUCUUGUUCAACUAUUUCCAGGAACAUCUGAACCUAACCCUAGGAGAUCUCGACCAUCCUUCCUUGAUUCACUUAUUGUUCCUAGAGCUCCUUCAACUUUCCAAAGUACUGAACCACAAAAUCAGGACAUAAAAUCAGAUGGCAUGGAUGAUCUAGGAUCAUCUGCUUUCCAGAAGCCAUCAGGACAGAAUGAAAAUGUGGGACAGCAUUUGGUGAAAUUUUCUGU
RNAcentral lists this unclassified non-coding RNA (657 nucleotides) under Hevea brasiliensis (rubber tree). The record is from RNAcentral. Lineage: Eukaryota; Viridiplantae; Streptophyta; Magnoliopsida; Malpighiales; Euphorbiaceae.